AGCAGCCGCGGUAAUUCCAGCUCCAAUAGCGUAUAUUAAAGUUGUUGCAGUUAAAAAGCUCGUAGUUGAAUUUUGGGUUUGGCCAAUUGGUCCGUUCUUGUAACGAGUACUGGUUGGUUGGGCCUCACCGCCUGGUGAUACGUAAUGUCCUUUAUUGGGUGUUGCGAGUAGCCAGGACCUUUACCUUGAAAAAAUUAGAGUGUUUAAAGCAGGCUUAUGCCGGAAUACAUUAGCAUGGAAUAAUAGAAUAGGACGAUGAUUCUAUUUUGUUGGUUUCUAGGAGCAUCGUAAUGAUUAAUAGGGAUAGUUGGGGGCAUUAGUAUUCAAUUGUCAGAGGUGAAAUUCUUGGAUUUAUUGAAGACUAACUACUGCGAAAGCAUUUGCCAAGGAUGUUUUCAUUAACCAAGAACGAAAGUUAGGGGAUCGAAGACGAUCAGAUACCGUCGUAGUCUUAACCAUAAACUAUAGCCGACUAGGGAUCGGGCGAUGUUGUUUCAAUGACUCG
RNAcentral lists this ribosomal RNA (505 nucleotides) under uncultured Archaeosporaceae. RNAcentral's name for it is "SSU rRNA". It matches the Rfam family "Eukaryotic small subunit ribosomal RNA", at positions 569 to 1078 of the family's 1831-position model. The record is from RNAcentral. Lineage: Eukaryota; Fungi; Glomeromycota; Glomeromycetes; Archaeosporales; Archaeosporaceae.